Molecule: ribosomal RNA, 514 nt
Filed under: Staphylococcus equorum
Lineage: Bacteria; Bacillati; Bacillota; Bacilli; Caryophanales; Staphylococcaceae
Description: bacterial SSU rRNA
Rfam family: Bacterial small subunit ribosomal RNA
Source: RNAcentral
UAGAGUUUGAUCCUGGCUCAGGAUGAACGCUGGCGGCGUGCCUAAUACAUGCAAGUCGAGCGAACGGAUAAGGAGCUUGCUCCUUUGAAGUUAGCGGCGGACGGGUGAGUAACACGUGGGUAACCUACCUAUAAGACUGGAAUAACUUCGGGAAACCGGAGCUAAUGCCGGAUAACAUUUGGAACCGCAUGGUUCUAAAGUAAAAGAUGGUUUUGCUAUCACUUAUAGAUGGACCCGCGCCGUAUUAGCUAGUUGGUAAGGUAACGGCUUACCAAGGCAACGAUACGUAGCCGACCUGAGAGGGUGAUCGGCCACACUGGAACUGAGACACGGUCCAGACUCCUACGGGAGGCAGCAGUAGGGAAUCUUCCGCAAUGGACGAAAGUCUGACGGAGCAACGCCGCGUGAGUGAUGAAGGUUUUCGGAUCGUAAAACUCUGUUAUUAGGGAAGAACAAAUGUGUAAGUAACUGUGCACAUCUUGACGGUCCCUAAUCAGAAAGCCGCGGCUAANAA